RNAcentral lists this unclassified non-coding RNA (227 nucleotides) under Hevea brasiliensis (rubber tree). Lineage: Eukaryota; Viridiplantae; Streptophyta; Magnoliopsida; Malpighiales; Euphorbiaceae. The record is from RNAcentral.
GACCCAGUCAUUAUCCCAUAGACAUACUUCACAUUAGGAAAAAGUUCAGGUAUUAAUCCAUACCAAUUACUCAAUCCUGAGCAUUUUUUAUGGAUUAGCUCAGCCAAUUCAAAGUUUGGCUUAAGCACUUGUGACAUUGCAUUUCUUAUGGAAGGGUCAGUGACCCGGCUACUGAGCAUCCCAUCACGUAUAUUAUCACAAAGCUCUUCCCAGACUUGUUCAAAGGU